AUUGAACGCUGGCGGCAGGCCUAACACAUGCAAGUCGAACGGUAACAGGAAGAAGCUUGCUUCUUUGCUGACGAGUGGCGGACGGGUGAGUAAUGUCUGGGAAACUGCCUGAUGGAGGGGGAUAACUACUGGAAACGGUAGCUAAUACCGCAUAACGUCGCAAGACCAAAGAGGGGGACCUUCGGGCCUCUUGCCAUCGGAUGUGCCCAGAUGGGAUUAGCUAGUAGGUGGGGUAACGGCCCACCUAGGCGACGAUCCCUAGCUGGUCUGAGAGGAUGACCAGCCACACUGGAACUGAGACACGGUCCAGACUCCUACGGGAGGCAGCAGUGGGGAAUAUUGCACAAUGGGCGCAAGCCUGAUGCAGCCAUGCCGCGUGUAUGAAGAAGGCCUUCGGGUUGUAAAGUACUUUCAGCGGGGAGGAAGGGAGUAAAGUUAAUACCUUUACUCAUUGACGUUACCCGCAGAAGAAGCACCGGCUAACUCCGUG
This 490-nucleotide ribosomal RNA is filed under the name uncultured bacterium. RNAcentral's name for it is "partial 16S ribosomal RNA". It matches the Rfam family "Bacterial small subunit ribosomal RNA", at positions 30 to 507 of the family's 1533-position model. The record is from RNAcentral.